RNAcentral lists this ribosomal RNA (253 nucleotides) under uncultured bacterium. RNAcentral describes it as "partial 16S ribosomal RNA". It matches the Rfam family "Bacterial small subunit ribosomal RNA", at positions 524 to 776 of the family's 1533-position model. The record is from RNAcentral.
UACGUAGGCAGCAAGCGUUGUUCGGAAUUACUGGGCGUAAAGAGGGUGUAGGCGGUGCUCUAAGUUCGGUGUGAAAUCUCCCGGCUUAACUGGGAGGGUGCGCCGGAAAUUGGAGUGCUCGAGCGUGGGAGAGGAAAGCGGAAUUCCUGGUGUAGCGGUGAAAUGCGUAGAUAUCAGGAGGAACACCUGCGGUGUAGACGGCUUUCUGGACCAUUGCUGACGCUGAGACACGAAAGCGUGGGUAGCAAACAGG